RNAcentral lists this ribosomal RNA (999 nucleotides) under uncultured bacterium. Its description in RNAcentral is "bacterial SSU rRNA". It matches the Rfam family "Bacterial small subunit ribosomal RNA", at positions 355 to 1375 of the family's 1533-position model. The record is from RNAcentral.
UGAGGGAUAUUGGGCAAUGGGGGAAACCCUGACCCAGCAACGCCGCGUGAGGGAUGACGGCCUUCGGGUUGUAAACCUCUGUCCUCUGUGAAGAUAGUGACGGUAGCAGAGGAGGAAGCUCCGGCUAACUACGUGCCAGCAGCCGCGGUAAUACGUAGGGAGCAAGCGUUGUCCGGAUUUACUGGGUGUAAAGGGUGCGUAGGCGGAUUGGCAAGUCAGAAGUGAAAUCCAUGGGCUUAACCCAUGAACUGCUUUUGAAACUGUUAGUCUUGAGUGAAGUAGAGGUAGGCGGAAUUCCCGGUGUAGCGGUGAAAUGCGUAGAGAUCGGGAGGAACACCAGUGGCGAAGGCGGCCUACUGGGCUUUAACUGACGCUGAGGCACGAAAGUGUGGGUAGCAAACAGGAUUAGAUACCCUGGUAGUCCACACUGUAAACGAUGAUUACUAGGUGUGGGGGGUCUAACCCCCUCCGUGCCGGAGUUAACACAAUAAGUAAUCCACCUGGGGAGUACGACCGCAAGGUUGAAACUCAAAGGAAUUGACGGGGGCCCGCACAAGCAGUGGAGUAUGUGGUUUAAUUCGACGCAACGCGAAGAACCUUACCGGGUCUUGACAUCCAACUAACGAAGCAGAGAUGCGUUAGGUGCCCUUCGGGGAAAGUUGAGACAGGUGGUGCAUGGUUGUCGUCAGCUCGUGUCGUGAGAUGUUGGGUUAAGUCCCGCAACGAGCGCAACCCUUGUGAUUAGUUGCUACGCAAGAGCACUCUAAUCAGACUGCCGUUGACAAAACGGAGGAAGGUGGGGACGACGUCAAAUCAUCAUGCCCUUUAUGACCUGGGCUACACACGUACUACAAUGGUCGUUAACAGAGGGAAGCAAUACCGCGAGGUGGAGCAAAACCCUAAAAACGGUCUCAGUUCAGAUUGUAGGCUGCAACUCGCCUACAUGAAGUUGGAAUUGCUAGUAAUCGCGGAUCAGCAUGCCGCGGUGAAUACGUUCCC